CCCCUAGAUGUUCUGGGCCGCACGCGCGCUACACUGAACAGUUCAACAAGUCUUAACCUUGGCCGAUAGGUCUGGGUAAUCUUUGAACGCUGUUCGUGAUUGGGAUAGACCUUUGCAAUUAUGGGUCUUCAACGAGGAAUUCCUAGUAAACGCAAGUCAUCAGCUUGCAUUGAUUACGUCCCUGCCCUUUGUACACACCGCCCGUCGCACCUACCGAUUUAAUGGUCCGGUGAAAUCUCGGGACGGCGGCUUGGUCGCUUGCGUCCGACUGCUGAAACUUGAUUAAACCAUAUCAUUUAGAGGAAGGUGAAGUCGUAACA
Molecule: ribosomal RNA, 320 nt
Filed under: uncultured eukaryote
Lineage: Eukaryota
Description: partial 18S ribosomal RNA
Rfam family: Eukaryotic small subunit ribosomal RNA
Source: RNAcentral